CAGCAUUCCCCCAGGCUCUGUAUCAGGGCCAGUGCUCUGUAGUGUUUUUAUAAAUUAACUAGGUGCAAGAAUCCAAUGUACAUUAAGUUGUGGAGAGCUUAAGACACAUCCAAAAUUUAUCCUAGAAGACACUCAAACAGUAAUACUGAAUUUAUAAAAUAUCCUGCACUCCUGAUAUAUUUCUGGAAGAGUAUUCCAAAACCUUUCUGCAAUAGGGAGCUGGGGCCAGCCACUAGAAGGCAACAUGAUCCCACAAACAG
Molecule: long non-coding RNA, 260 nt
Organism: Vidua chalybeata
Lineage: Eukaryota; Metazoa; Chordata; Aves; Passeriformes; Viduidae
Exons: 3
Source: RefSeq, a predicted model, not a curated record